Molecule: long non-coding RNA, 158 nt
Organism: Labrus mixtus (cuckoo wrasse)
Lineage: Eukaryota; Metazoa; Chordata; Actinopteri; Labriformes; Labridae
Exons: 2
Source: RefSeq, a predicted model, not a curated record
ACUUAAGACCCUGACACACCAAGCAGACGGCAAAGAACUAGUGGCGACGAAGUUGCACUUGAACACACCGCAAAGACUACAGGCAACGGACAACCACCAUGUACGUUCUGCGGAAAUAACUCUCCAUGCCAGCAGGCGGCGGUAGUCUGUAAUUGUCA